This 252-nucleotide ribosomal RNA is filed under the name uncultured bacterium. RNAcentral describes it as "partial 16S ribosomal RNA". It matches the Rfam family "Bacterial small subunit ribosomal RNA", at positions 524 to 776 of the family's 1533-position model. The record is from RNAcentral.
UACGGAGGAUGCGAGCGUUAUCCGGAUUUAUUGGGUUUAAAGGGUGCGUAGGCGGGUUAUCAAGUCAGCGGUAAAGUCGCGGAGCUCAACUCCAUCCAGCCGUUGAAACUGAUGAUCUUGAGUGGGCGAGAAGUAUGCGGAAUGCGUGGUGUAGCGGUGAAAUGCAUAGAUAUCACGCAGAACUCCGAUUGCGAAGGCAGCAUACCGGCGCCCGACUGACGCUGAAGCACGAAAGCGUGGGUAUCGAACAGG